UUUCACUUUUUGAACAUUUUUAAAUGAUUAGUUUCUUAUCUAAAUACUAAAUUAAAUACUAAUAUAGAUCUAAUCAUAAGAAAAGUCAAGGGCGCCAAAAUCAUAAAUAAUGUCCUGUAGUAUAUAAUGUCUAUGAUUCAUAGGUAUUAUUUAGAAGUAGGCUUGUACGGCUUGUACAGCAAUUUCACUUUGGAAUCCAACUCUUUAGACUUUAGAGUACCUCUGCGAUGCUGUUAGAUAGGUAGGUUGUUUGUUGACGAUUUUUUUUGGCUAGCCACAAUUUGUUAUUUUUUUAGUGCAAUUUUUAAUUUUCAACUGUAUCUGCCGAUUACAACGAAUUUUACUAAGUACUUGUAGUUCUUCCAGUAGGUACAACCUAACUAAAGCUACAACAAUAUACGAGCAAUCGAGGUCUCUAUAAAUUUUAAUUAUUUAUUAUUAUUAUACAACGUUUUCGGGUUGGGCGUGUUGUGACAUCGAACGUCGUCGUAAAAAACGCAUAAUAUGCUUUGUACGCGAGAUAUCGGGUACUGCAGCGCCGAGAAGAACGAGAAAUAUACAUACACACACACACAGUAUAACGCUGAACAUUCUUGGGCCGGUACAACCUGUUGUCGUGCGCUUCUUAAAUUAUAAUAUUAUUCAAAACGAGAUGCACUCGGGUUGAUAACGAAGAAAAAAAAACCGGUGUGCGGCAAUGUAGAAUAUAUGAAUAUAUUUAUUAUUAUUAUUAUUAUUCGGAGGAGUCGACGAGGACGUUAUUGUUGUCGCGGCCACGCAGUUGGCAAAGGGGUC
Cinara cedri is the source of this 795-nucleotide non-coding RNA. NCBI's taxonomy places the organism in Eukaryota, Metazoa, Arthropoda, Insecta, Hemiptera, Aphididae. The record is from the annotation of a GenBank genome assembly.